GCAUGAUCGCCACCUCGCGCCGCACGUCCUCGAUGUCCACCGCCGUCUUGAGCUUGGACUUGGAGAUGGACUUGCACGCCAGCAGCUCCUGCGACUCCUGCUCCAUGCACAGCAACAACGAGACAAACGUCAGUCCAUCCAUCCCCGCGGCUUCAUUGCGCUGGUGAAUCCAAAUCCACAACAUCCACCAAGAACAAUCCAGCAAAAACAAUCACCAAACCGAAAAGAGGGCAGCCAGGCAUUCAAAGAGGGCCGACGAGGAGGGAGGAAUUCACGGACUCUUGUCAAAAACCCGGGCACCAAAUUCCUCCAAGCACCAAUUCCAGCGAUCUCUCGCAAGCUAGUCUCCUCCACUCCAUCCCAUCCGAAGAGCAAACAGGGAAAAAAAAGAGGCUUUUCUUCUCACUCA
This is a long non-coding RNA of Selaginella moellendorffii, 409 nucleotides long. RefSeq lists it as uncharacterized. The record is from RefSeq and is a predicted model, not a curated record. The transcript has 2 exons. Lineage: Eukaryota; Viridiplantae; Streptophyta; Lycopodiopsida; Selaginellales; Selaginellaceae.